GUCGAACGCUUUGUCUUUAAUUGAUCUGACGAGCUUGCUCUGAUUUGAUUUUAUCUGACAAAGAGUGGCGAACGGGUGAGUAACACGUGGGUAACCUACCUCUUAGCAGGGGAUAACAUUUGGAAACAAGUGCUAAUACCGUAUAAUACCAACAACCGCAUGGUUGUUGGUUGAAAGAUGGUUCUGCUAUCACUAAGAGAUGGACCCGCGGUGCAUUAGCUAGUUGGUAAGGUAACGGCUUACCAAGGCAAUGAUGCAUAGCCGAGUUGAGAGACUGAUCGGCCACAAUGGGACUGAGACACGGCCCAUACUCCUACGGGAGGCAGCAGUAGGGAAUCUUCCACAAUGGGCGCAAGCCUGAUGGAGCAACGCCGCGUGUGUGAUGAAGGGUUUCGGCUCGUAAAACACUGUUAUAAGAGAAGAACGGCACUGAGAGUAACUGUUCAGUGUGUGACGGUAUCUUACCAGAAAGGAACGGCUAAAUACGUGCCAGCAGCCGCGGUAAUACGUAUGUUCCAAGCGUUAUCCGGAUUUAUUGGGCGUAAAGCGAGCGCAGACGGUUAUUUAAGUCUGAAGUGAAAGCCCUCAGCUCAACUGAGGAAUGGCUUUGGAAACUGGAUGACUUGAGUGCAGUAGAGGAAAGUGGAACUCCAUGUGUAGCGGUGAAAUGCGUAGAUAUAUGGAAGAACACCAGUGGCGAAGGCGGCUUUCUGGACUGUAACUGACGUUGAGGCUCGAAAGUGUGGGUAGCAAACAGGAUUAGAUACCCUGGUAGUCCACACCGUAAACGAUGAGUGCUAGAUGUUCGAGGGUUUCCGCCCUUGAGUGUCGCAGCUAACGCAUUAAGCACUCCGCCUGG
RNAcentral lists this ribosomal RNA (859 nucleotides) under uncultured bacterium. RNAcentral describes it as "bacterial SSU rRNA". It matches the Rfam family "Bacterial small subunit ribosomal RNA", at positions 61 to 876 of the family's 1533-position model. The record is from RNAcentral.